AGCGAACGCUGGCGGCAGGCUUAACACAUGCAAGUCGAGCGGGCACUUUCGGGUGUCAGCGGCGGACGGGUGAGUAACGCGUGGGAACGUGCCCUCUGGUUCGGAAUAACUCAGGGAAACUUGAGCUAAUACCGGAUACGCCCUUUUGGGGAAAGGCUUGCUGCCGGAGGAUCGGCCCGCGUCUGAUUAGCUAGUUGGUGAGGUAACGGCUCACCAAGGCGACGAUCAGUAGCUGGGCUGAGAGGAUGAUCAGCCACACUGGGACUGAGACACGGCCCAGACUCCUACGGGAGGCAGCAGUGGGGAAUAUUGGACAAUGGGCUCAAGCCUGAUCCAGCCAUGCCGCGUGAGUGAUGAAGGCCUUAGGGUUGUAAAGCUCUUUUAUCCGGGACGAUAAUGACGGUACCGGAGGAAUAAGCCCCGGCUAACUUCGUG
RNAcentral lists this ribosomal RNA (435 nucleotides) under uncultured bacterium. RNAcentral describes it as "partial 16S ribosomal RNA". It matches the Rfam family "Bacterial small subunit ribosomal RNA", at positions 29 to 507 of the family's 1533-position model. The record is from RNAcentral.